ACCCUCCAGACCUCUUACCCAUCAGACCUAAACAUUGGUCUGAGUGGUUAUCAAAAGAGGGGGGAGGAAAAGUGGAAGUGACUUGGAUUCAUUGUGACAAGUUAGUUUUAAACAAAU
This 117-nucleotide small nucleolar RNA is filed under the name Echinops telfairi (small Madagascar hedgehog). RNAcentral describes it as "Small nucleolar RNA SNORA61 (ENSETEG00000024477.1)". Lineage: Eukaryota; Metazoa; Chordata; Mammalia; Afrosoricida; Tenrecidae. The record is from RNAcentral.